UUCAAAGCUUUUAAUUUAUUGUUGGAUCAAUGUGCUCACAGAUUUGUUCAAAAAACAAUUAUUAUAUUAGUUGUAAAAGAAAUAAAAAAGAGCUAUCACUCGGCUGUAUAUUUUUCAUCAUUAUAGAUGGGAAUAGAAAAAUGGGAAUAAAACAACAGCAAUGAGCUACUAACAAUCCAGUUGCUUGCAAAGUGAUUGACCUACAACAGACAUACCAACAACUUUGUAUCUCUUCUAUUAAAAUCCUCUCA
Molecule: long non-coding RNA, 251 nt
Filed under: Physcomitrium patens
Lineage: Eukaryota; Viridiplantae; Streptophyta; Bryopsida; Funariales; Funariaceae
Description: long non-coding RNA (PPAT_LNC004347)
Source: RNAcentral